Molecule: small RNA, 4433 nt
Filed under: Pan troglodytes (chimpanzee)
Lineage: Eukaryota; Metazoa; Chordata; Mammalia; Primates; Hominidae
Description: retained intron
Source: RNAcentral
GAGGGCGAUGAGAGCGGGUACUGCGAACUGCUGGGCGAUGCUGUCGCUGCCGCCGUGAUACGGAGAGCAACAGUUCCCCAGCAACACCCCUCCCCGACACAGGCACACACCCCCCGACAGGCACGCACACCCACCCCACAGUGCCCGGCUCGGCUGCGCCUCCUCUAUUGGCCCAGGAAGCCCACCCAGCCCCGCCACGCAGAGCCCAGAAGGAAAGAAAGCCUCAUGCCUGAGCCGAGGGGAGCACCAUGGAUCUGACAAAAAUGGGCAUGAUCCAGCUGCAGAACCCUAGCCACCCCACGGGGCUACUGUGCAAGGCCAACCAGAUGCGGCUGGCCGGGACUUUGUGCGAUGUGGUCAUCAUGGUGGACAGCCAGGAGUUCCACGCCCACCGGACGGUGCUGGCCUGCACCAGCAAGAUGUUUGAGAUCCUCUUCCACCGCAAUAGUCAACACUAUACUUUGGACUUCCUCUCGCCAAAGACCUUCCAGCAGAUUCUGGAGUAUGCAUAUACAGCCACGCUGCAAGCCAAGGCGGAGGACCUGGAUGACCUGCUGUAUGCGGCCGAGAUCCUGGAGAUCGAGUACCUGGAGGAGCAGUGCCUGAAGAUCCUGGAGACCAUCCAGGCCUCAGACGACAAUGACACGGAGGCCACCAUGGCCGAUGGCGGGGCCGAGGAAGAAGAGGACCGCAAGGCUCGGUACCUCAAGAACAUCUUCAUCUCGAAGCAUUCCAGCGAGGAGAGUGGGUAUGCCAGUGUGGCUGGACAGAGCCUCCCUGGGCCCAUGGUGGACCAGAGCCCUUCAGUCUCCACUUCAUUUGGUCUUUCAGCCAUGAGUCCCACCAAGGCUGCAGUGGACAGUUUGAUGACCAUAGGACAGUCUCUCCUGCAGGGAACUCUUCAGCCACCUGCAGGGCCCGAGGAGCCAACUCUGGCUGGGGGUGGGCGGCACCCUGGGGUGGCUGAGGUGAAGACGGAGAUGAUGCAGGUGGAUGAGGUGCCCAGCCAGGACAGCCCUGGGGCAGCCGAGUCCAGCAUCUCAGGAGGGAUGGGGGACAAGGUUGAGGAAAGAGGCAAGGAGGGGCCUGGGACCCCGACUCGAAGCAGUGUCAUCACCAGUGCUAGGGAGCUACACUAUGGGCGAGAGGAGAGUGCCGAGCAGCUGCCACCCCCAGCUGAGGCUGGCCAGGCCGCCACUGGCCGACCUGAGCACCCAGCACCCCCGCCUGAGAAGCAUCUGGGCAUCUACUCCGUGUUGCCCAACCACAAGGCUGACGCUGUAUUGAGCAUGCCGUCUUCCGUGACCUCUGGCCUCCACGUGCAGCCUGCCCUGGCUGUCUCCAUGGACUUCAGCACCUAUGGGGGGCUGCUGCCCCAGGGCUUCAUCCAGAGGGAGCUGUUCAGCAAGCUGGGGGAGCUGGCUGUGGGCAUGAAGUCAGAGAGCCGGACCAUCGGGGAGCAGUGCAGCGUGUGUGGGGUCGAGCUUCCUGAUAACGAGGCUGUGGAGCAGCACAGGAAGCUGCACAGUGGGAUGAAGACAUACGGGUGCGAGCUCUGCGGGAAGCGGUUCCUGGAUAGUUUGCGGCUGAGAAUGCACUUACUGGCUCAUUCAGCGGGUGCCAAAGCCUUUGUCUGUGAUCAGUGCGGUGCACAGUUUUCGAAGGAGGAUGCCCUGGAGACACACAGGCAGACCCAUACUGGUGAGUUGACUUGGAUUCCUGUUCUCCAGGUUUUCCACAGUGUUGGUAGCACAUGGACAUGAACUGUCUGGGUGGCAACCUCUUUUUAGCAAAUGUGACAUCCAGUAAUUUCCUGGGCGAGCUGUGAGUAGGAUGGGCUUCUGCCACGUUCAGCUACUCUUGUCUGUGUGGCUGGCCCAGCAGAAGUUUACAAGUAUGACAUGGCCCCAUGAGAAUGGCUGUCCUAGAUUAGGCCAAGAUCUGUCUCUAACCGGCCACCGAGAUCUCAUGUUCUUGGAGGUAUCUAGUAUGCUCUUGUUGAGGCCUUAGUCUGUGUUGUUAUCAAAACAUCUUCUUCCCUUGGUCAGGAAAUCUCUCACACCCAUCUGAUGAAACUGAAACCCUCGUGUGGCCACAGUUGGCUGGUCCUCCCUCUGCGAGAGCUGAGACAUUGUCUAAAAUCAGCGUGUACGCAGGAUGCAUUUGAACAACAUUAACUCACGAUGAUAGAGCUUUAUUUGAUUUCAAAGGGAUUGAUUUCACCGCACCAAAGUCAUCUGAUCAUUGUGAUCAGAGUCGUCGUCAUCACAUCAUCACAGCAGCUCACACUUAACACUCACAGUGAGGCAGGCACUGUUCUCAGUGCUUUAUGUCAGGGGUCCCCAACCCUGGGAUCAUGGACUGGUGUCUGUGGUGGUCUGUUAGGAACCAGGCUGCAUGGCAAGAGGCGAGCAGUGGGCAGGCAAGUGAAACUUCAUCUGUAUUUACUGCUGUUCCUCAUUGCUCGCAUUACCACCUGAGCUCCUCCUCAUGUCAGAGCAGCAGCAGCAGCAGCAGCAGCAGCAUUAGAUUCUCAUAGGAGCACAAAUCCUAUUGUGAACUGUGCAUGCAAGGGAUCAAGGUUGCAUGCUCCUUAUGAGAAUCUAAUGCCUGAUGAUCUGUCACUGUCUCUUGUCACCCCCAGAUGGGACCAUCUAGUUGCAGGAAAACAAGCUCAGGGCUCUCACUAAUUCUACAUUAUGUGAGUUGUAUAAUUAGUUCAUUAUAUAUUAUAAUGUAAUAAUAGAAAUAAAGUACACAAUAAAUGUAAUGUGCUUAAAUCAUCCCAGGACCACCCUCCUGUACCCCGCUGUAUGUGAAAAGGUUGUCUUCCAUAAAACUGGUCCCUGGUGCCUAAAAGGUUGGGGACCACUGCUUUACGUGAUCCCAUCUGGCCAAUCUCUCAGUAACCCUGUAAGGUAAGGUUGGAAGCUACUCUUAUGUCAUAGAUGAGGAAACUGAGGCUGAAAGGAGGGAAAGUGACUUGCUGGAGUUGGUAGUGGGGACAGGCGUGGUAGAGUCUUAUAGUUCAGAGCUGAGACUGCAUGGGUUUAAUCCUGACUCUGCUACUUCCUAUUUGUGGGGCCAUGGAUAAAUUAUUUAAACUCUCUUAAUUUAGAUUUCUCAUCUGUUAGAAAAGUGGAGUAAUAUUAGUGUCUACCUCAUAGCAUUAGGGUUGUUGUGGGGAUGAAAUAAGGUAUUUUAUUUGAAGUAUUUCAUGGAGUGUUCGGCUCAUAGUAAGCACUCAAUAAAUAGUAGUAGGUAUAUUUAAUGUAAUAGAUAUUUAUUGAGUUUCGACAAGGUGCUGGCACUGUUUAGGCAUUUAAGAUGUAGUAAUGCAUGAGACAGACAACAUUGCUGCCUCUCAUGGAACUGAGCUUCUAGCUGGGAGACAGAAUCAGCAAAUAAAUAUACGAUAUCAUGUCUGCUUAUACAUAUUAAGUGCUACUAGAAAAGGAUAAGGAGUAGAGAAUAAUAGGGAGAAAAGAAAUAUUGUGGAUAUUUAGGGAGAAAUGUUGUGGAUAAAAUGGUUAGGGAAGGCCUCUCCAAGAAGGUGGUAUCUGGGCAGAGUCUUAAAAAGUGAAGGAGUGAGCCACUCAAAAAUUUCUGGGAAGAAUGUCUAAGCAAAGGGAGUGAGCACUUGCAGAAGCCCUGAGGCUGGAUCAAGCCUGACAAGUUUAAGGACCCACACGCAGAGCAGUGGUGGCCAGAGAGCUGGGAGUGACGUGUAGAGAGUGGUGAGGGAUGAGGACAGGAUCUGUCAAGUCUCUCAGCCCUGGUAAAAGAUUUGGGUUUUACUCUGCAUGUGCUGAGUCCUUUGGAGGGUGACAAAAUAUUUGCAAAUCAUAUAUUUGAUGAGGAACUUAUAGCUAGAAAUAGAAAGAGGGCUUAUAAUUCAAAAAACAUAAACAAAUAAUCAAAUUAAAUAAUGGGCAAAGGUUCUGAACAGACGUGUCUCCAAAGAUAGACAAAUAGCCAAUGAGCACAUGAAAAAGAUGCUCAACUGCAUUCACCAUCAGAGAGAUGCAAAUCAAAACCACAGUGAGAUACUGCUUCACACCCACUACAAUGUGGCUACAAGAAAAAAUACAGAUAGUUACAAGUGUUAUCAAAGAUGUGGAAAAACCAGAACUCUCAUGGGAGUGUAAAAUGGUGUAGCCACUUUGGAAAACAUUCUGGCAAUUCCUCAAGAGGUUAGCUGAGGCAGGCAGAUCACGAGGUCAGGAGAUCGAGACCAUCCUGGCCAACAUGGUGAAAGCCCGUCUCUACUAAAAAAAUACAAAAAUUAGCUGGGCGUGGUGGCAUGUGCUUGUAAUCUCAGCUACUUGGGAGGCUGAGGCAGGAGAAUCACUUGAACCAGGGAGUCGGAAGUUGCAGUGAGCUGAGAUUGAGCCACUGCACUCCAGCCUGGCGUCAGAGUGAGACUCCGUCUC